Non-coding RNA from Camellia sinensis, 4850 nucleotides. The record is from RefSeq and is a predicted model, not a curated record. Lineage: Eukaryota; Viridiplantae; Streptophyta; Magnoliopsida; Ericales; Theaceae.
UCCCUCAUUUGUCUUUGCACAGUUGUCAUGAGACCUUUAUUCUGACAUACAUCUCAACUUAGGUCAUUUAGUUUGGCAAAACAUUAUUUGCAAUUUUGAGAGCUUUCCUUGAAUUGAAUCCAGACAACAAGUCAACAUGGCUGCAUCGUUUCUACCAUUUGUGCUUCAGAAUCUCAACUCCUUGAUCCAAAAGGAGGUGGGCUUGCUUUGGGGUGUUGACAAGGAGAUGAAAAAGCUUUCAAGCACUCUCACCACCAUCCAGGCUGUCCUGCAAGAUGCAGAACAAAAACAAUCCCAAGAAAAAGCAAUACAAAAUUGGUUGAGAAAACUCAAUGAUGCAGCCUAUGAAGUAGAAGACAUCUUGGAUGACUGCACAACCGAAGCCCUCCAAUACGAAUCAAAAAGGCUGAGUUCUAGUUCUCUAAAGAAGGUAAUAAGCACUUCCUUAUUGACUUAUCCUGUUCAGAACAUUCUGUUCCGUCACAAGAUAGGGAAUAGGAUGAAAGAUACCAUAGAGAACUUAAAUGCAAUUGCUGAAGAGCGGAUGAAGUUUCAUUUACGUGAGGUGGUUGUGGAGAAGCGUGUUGAAUUGGCUGACAGACGUGAAACCAGCUCUGCUCUAACUCAACCACAACUGUAUGGAAGAGAAGAAGAUAAAGAAAAAAUUGUCAAAAUGUUGGUUGAGAAUAUAUGUGAUUGCCAGGAUGUUUCUGUCUACCCUAUAAUUGGCAUGGGGGGGCUAGGAAAGACCACGCUUGCCCAAAUGGUCUUCAACGAUGAGAGGGUAAAGUGCCACUUUGAGCCUAAAAUUUGGGUUUAUGUUUCUCAGGAUUUUGAUGUGAAAAGGGUGAUAAAAACAUUAAUCGAAUCCGUAUCUAAGGGAACCUGUGAAGCCUCAAACCUAGAUUCUUUGCAGAAAAAGCUUCAAGAGAUGCUAAAUAGGAAAAGAUAUUUGCUUGUAUUAGAUGAUUUGUGGGACGAAGAUCAAGACAACUGGGAGGGGCUAAAGUAUUUACUAGCAUGUGGAUCAAAAGGUGCUUCCAUUAUCGUUACUACUCGUGUUGCAAAGGUAGCAUCAAUCACGGGAACUGUUCCAGCACAUCACUUGUCAUUUUUAUCUGAAGAAGAUUGCUGGUUGUUGUUCAAACAACGGGCAUUUGGACACGGGAAUGAAGAGCAUCCAAACCUUGUGGCCAUUGGGAAGGAGAUAGUGAAGAAAUGUGGGGGUGUGCCUUUAGCUGCGAAGGCCCUUGGAGGGCUAAUGCGCUUCAAAAGUGAGGAAACAGAUUGGCAUUAUGUUCAAGAAAGUGAAAUUUGGAACUUACCCCAAGACAAAAAUUCCAUCUUGCCUCUCUUGAGAUUAAGUUACAAUAACCUUCCAUUGGAAUUGAGACGGUGUUUUGCUUACUGUGCCAUUUUUCUGAAAGGUUCUAAAAUUGAAAAGGAAAAACUUAUUCAUCUUUGGAUGGCUAAUGGCUUUAUUUCAUCCAACGGAAAAUCAGAGUUAGAAGAUAUUGGUAAUGGUAUAUGGAAUGAGUUAUAUUGGAGAUCCUUUUUCCAAAAUGUGGACAAAGAUCCAUCUGGCGUCAUUAUUUUCAAAAUUCAUGAUCUUAUGCACGAUCUUGCCCAAUCCGUUAUGGAAGAUGAAUGCCAUAUGAUGGAGGCUGAAAGCUCAAAGAAUAUAUCAGUGCAAGGAAUUCAUCAUGUUACACUGGUUGCUGACUAUAUGGAUGUAGCUGUCUUUCCUAAAGCAUUAUAUAGAGUUGAAUCCUUACGUACAAUUCUUCCACAAAUUAGACAGCCAUACACUUACACUCGUAGUUCUUUUUCUUUUUCUGUUGACUUCACAAAUUUUGGUUCAUUACGAGUGUUUGAUGCAUUCGGCUUCAACAUGGGGCAGUUGUCAUCUUCAAUUGGUAAGUUAAAACAUUUAAGGUACUUGAACCUUUCUGAAAGUUACAUUCAGAUGCUCCCAAAGUCAAUUUGUAGCCUUCACAAUUUGCAGACUUUAAACCUAAAUUCCUGUUUUGAGCUUCAGAGGCUGCCCAAGAACAUGAAAUCCCUAAGAAGCCUCCGACAUCUUUGUCUGAAAGGUUGUAGCAAAAUACAGGACAUGCCUCCAAAGCUUGGGCAUUUAACUCUCCUGAGGACAUUAAGCUUAUUUGUCGUGGGUAAGAGUAGAGGUCAUCGGGUAGUUGAAUUGCAAUGCUUAGAUCUUGGGGGAGAAUUGUGUAUCCGUCACCUUGAGAGAGUGAGAAACUCAAUGGAUGCCAAAGAAGCCAAUUUGGUCGGAAAACAGAACCUCCGAGUCUUGAAGUUAUCAUGGGGACAUAACAGUGAAUCAGAAUCACAAGCAAAUGUUGAACAACUACUUGAAGCCCUGGAACCUCACCCAAAUGUUGAAGAGUUGUUCAUAGACAAUUACAGAGGUGCCCACUUCCCACUUUGGAUGAGGGAUUCAAUUCUUAAAAACAUAGUUUCUAUUGUGCUACGUAGCUGCAGAAACUGUUUAGAACUUCCAGCCUUUGGACAGUUGCCUUCCCUGCGACGGCUUGUGAUUUCUAACAUGGAUUAUGUGGAGUACAUUGACAAUUACUUCCCUGGCGGAGGCCCAGUUAGAGGAUUUCCGUCUUUGGAAGUACUCCUCAUUUCUGGUUUGCCGAAUUUGGUAGGGUUGUCAAGGGAGGAAGGAAGAGAGCUACUCCCUCGUCUUCACGAGAUAUACAUCUGCAAUUGCCCAAAAUUGACCUUGCCGCGUCUUUCAUCACCAAAACUCUUGACUGUCUCGAGUUCCAGCAACGAGGUACUAAGUUCAAUCUCAAAUCUUAAUCAUCUCACUACCCUUUCAGUUAAUGGCGGGGACAUGAUUUCUUUUCCAGAAGAGAUGUUGCAAAACCUAACUGUUCUUGAAUCUCUACAAAUUGAAAACUUUAGCCAACUUAAAGUGCUACCUACAAACUUGGAAAGCCUUGUCUCUUUGAAGUCAUUUCGUAUCUGGGGUUGUCAGGAGAUUGAGUCUUUGCCAGAUCCUGGGCUACGAAGCCUAAAGUCUCUCCAACAUCUGACGAUUAGCCAGUGCAAUAAUUUGAGUUCUUUAUCUGAGAGUUUGGGACACCUCACUGCCUUGGAGGAAUUGCAUGUUUAUCGGUGUCCCAAGCUAGUGACUUUGCCAGACAGCAUUAAACAUCUUGUUUCUCUUCGACGCCUAGAUAUUCGUGGUAGUGAGUUGAAGACUUUGCCUAAAGCAUUGAAACAUGUCCCUGCACUUCAAUCUCUAUCUAUUUCUUGGUAUACAGAGCUCACAUCACUGCCUGAAUGGUUGGGAAACCUUACGUCACUUCAAUCGUUGCACAUUGAUUACUGUCCCAAGAUUCCAUCACUUCCACAUGGCUUUCAAAGGCUAACCAACCUCCAAACUUUGAGCAUUUAUGGAUGCCGUCCUGAAUUGGUAAGGCGAUGUCAAAAGGAAAAGGGGGAGGAUUGGUAUAAGAUAGCACAUAUUCCAAAAAUCAAUCUGACAAUUGCUCUCUCUUUUUCUCACGCAUCACAAACUUGUAGAGGAUUACUUCCCUGGCAGAGGCCCAGUUAGAGGAUUUCCGUCUUUGAAAGUACUCGUUAUUUCGGAGUUGCCGAAUUUGGUAGGCUUGUCAAGGGAGGAAGGAAGAGAACUACUCCCGUCUUCACAGGAUAAACAUCCACAAUUGCCCAAAAUUGACGUUGCCGCAUCUUUCAUCACCAAAACUCUUGUAUGUCUCGAGUUCCACGAACUUCAAUCUCAGAUCUUAAUCAUCUCACCACCCUUACCGUUCAUGGCGGGGACAUGGUUUCUUUUCCAGAAGAGAUGUUGCAAAACCUAACUGUUCUUGAAUCUCUACAAAUUGAAAGCUAUAGCCAACUUAAAGGGCUACCUACAAACUUGGAAAGCCUUGUAUCUUUGAAGUCACUGAGUAUCAGCCGUUGUCAUGAGAUUGAGACUUUGCCAGAUCAUGGGCUACGAAGCCUAAAGUCUCUCCAACAUCUGACGAUUGGAGACUGUAAUAAUUUGAGUUCUUUAUCUGAGAGUUUGGAACACCUCACUGCCUUGGAGGAAUUGUAUGUUUAUGGGUGUCCCAAGCUAGUGACUUUGCCAGACAGCAUUAAACAUCUUGUUUCUCUUCGACACGUAGAAAUUCGUGGUGGACUUUGUGCAGAGUUGAAGACUUUGCCUGAAGCAUUGAAACAUGUCCCUGCACGUCAAUCUCUAUCUAUUUCUGGGUAUCCAGAGCUCACAUCACUGCCUGAAUGGUUGGGAAACCUUACGUCACUUCAAUCGUUGUGCAUUAGUUACUGUCCCAAGAUUCCAUCACUUCCACAUGGCUUUCAAAGGCUAACCAACCUCCAAACUUUGGCCAUUUAUAGAUGCUGUCCUGAAUUGGUAAGGCGAUGUCAAAAGGAAAGGGGGGAGGAUUGGUAUAAGAUAGCACAUAUUCCAAAAAUCAUGAUGUGCUGUUAGGCUUUCGGGUCACAAUGACAGUAGCAUGAUAGCUGCAAGUUUUGAAGUGGUUGUAGCGUUGGAUACAUUGCUGGUGGGGAAUAUAUUGGGCUGCUUAUUAUAGGUCUGAGGUUGGGUAACCGGAGGUGGUUUCAUUCAGCUGUUCUGAUCUCAGACUCCCUUUGUGUUAAUUUCUCUUCUGCGAAAUAAAGAUUAAAUGCAGGUCUUAUUGGGCUAUGUAUAAUAAUAUUAGUGUGUGAUGGACACUGGGUGCUCUAGCCUUCUGAGGUCAGAGGGUUAGAGCCUCCUAUCAUGCCCACUAUUUUUUUGAGCGAUGAUUUGAAGUUCAAUUUCUGUUAUAAUUUUAUAUUCUUUCACU